GCCACAGAGGGGUUUUUGUCACGUAAUGGAAGAUUCCCAAGCCUUUCUAGAGGCUGCUGAUGUAGCAAACGCUGUCGUAGAUGCUCUGUCCACAUCAUCUGUAACACAGAUUUGUGAACUGAUCAUCUCGCCUAUACCGAAUAAACAUGUUUAUUAAAAAGAAGACUAAUAAAAAAAUUCUGCAUCAAUUUCCUUUAUCCCUUCCAACAGUUUAAUAUAAACAUUAUAACAUUUGUAUUAAAUUAACGUAUAAUCUGUC
Molecule: long non-coding RNA, 259 nt
Organism: Homalodisca vitripennis (glassy-winged sharpshooter)
Lineage: Eukaryota; Metazoa; Arthropoda; Insecta; Hemiptera; Cicadellidae
Exons: 2
Source: RefSeq, a predicted model, not a curated record